This is a non-coding RNA of Trichonephila inaurata madagascariensis, 73 nucleotides long. The record is from the annotation of a GenBank genome assembly. Lineage: Eukaryota; Metazoa; Arthropoda; Arachnida; Araneae; Nephilidae.
GUCCCUGUUGUACAAUGGAUAGCGCAUUUGACUUCUAAUCUAAAGGUAGUGGGAUCGAAUCCCACCUGGGAUG